CAGUCGCCGCGGUAACACGUAGGUGGCAAGCGUUGUCCGGAAUUAUUGGGCGUAAAGGGCUCGCAGGCGGUUUCUUAAGUCUGAUGUGAAAGCCCCCGGCUCAACCGGGGAGGGUCAUUGGAAACUGGGAAACUUGAGUGCAGAAGAGGAGAGUGGAAUUCCACGUGUAGCGGUGAAAUGCGUAGAGAUGUGGAGGAACACCAGUGGCGAAGGCGACUCCCUGGUCUGUAACUGACGCUGAGGAGCGAAAGCGUGGGGAGCGAACAGGAUUAGAUACCCCUGUAGUCCCUGUCUCUUAUAC
This 301-nucleotide ribosomal RNA is filed under the name uncultured bacterium. RNAcentral's name for it is "partial 16S ribosomal RNA". It matches the Rfam family "Bacterial small subunit ribosomal RNA", at positions 509 to 807 of the family's 1533-position model. The record is from RNAcentral.